GCUCCAGGGAUGGGGAAACCAAGUCACAAGAAAGGUACUGGCUAAGCAAACGUACCCAAUAGCCAUAUGUCUUAAGGCACUAACUGAGCUUAAAUAGCUGAAGUUACCACUCGGUGUCUUCCUAACCAUCCUGUUCAGACAGCUCAUAGUGCUCCACAUUGUGAUGUUGCAUCUUCAUCUUCAGCAGACAAGUUCAAAGCUCCAGCAGCGAAUAGCUAUGCGUAUCCUUUGCAUACUCUCUCACUGGCUCUCAGUUGUUACCUCUGCUGGAGCAUCCACACAGGGCUAGCUAUUUUUUGGCUGUUAUUCACAUCUCCAACGAGUAGACUCUGAACUCUACCUGACUGUGCUCUUCCUCCUGCAUUCCCUCUGCCUGAGAGCCCACACAUCCUCUGCUUAAAGGCCAGGAAGAAGCUGGGACGAAGGCUGCUGUUUCCCUGCCCCGCCUGUGGGGCCGAGGCUCGGCUCGAGGAAAGCAGCCGCGCUGCGCUGAGGGGAGCUGGGCUGGCGGGAAGCUUUCGGAAGCCGCGUCGGGAGCGAGCCACGAGGCAGGGCCAGCGCGGGGUGCCUGAGGGUGAACGCAGCUCUGCGGCAGGGCUGGACAACACAGAGGCCUUCCCUCAGCUGAGAAAAGAGAAGCUGUCCCUCAGGUGGCAAGAGAGGAGCCUUCCUUCAGCUUUGAUGAGGAUUUCAUCCCAUUCUUACUCCAUGAUCCUUCAGACAGAACAAAUAAUUUAUGAACAGAAUGAAAUGAAAAUGCAUCCAGGAGUUUUAUAAUACAGUAAAAUGUACUAGAACUGGCAGGCUCAAAAAUAAAGGUAUGCAGACUAAGAUCCUUAAGUAUUAU
RNAcentral lists this long non-coding RNA (847 nucleotides) under Numida meleagris (helmeted guineafowl). RNAcentral's name for it is "lncRNA (ENSNMEG00000006626.1)". Lineage: Eukaryota; Metazoa; Chordata; Aves; Galliformes; Numididae. The record is from RNAcentral.